GGUGGGUGAAAAAUGUUUAACAAAUACGGAUUGUGAAUGCGACCCUCCUUUGAUAGCUUUUUGUAUAUUUAAAAAGUGUAUGUGUCAACCAAAACUAUUCGACAACAUACGAUUACCAAACCCAUAGGGGUUAAAAAGAAGCUCAACUAUAGUAUUAAAUAAGCUGUCAUUAGUUAUGGCAUUUCCAUCUUAUAAUUUGAUUUUCAUAUAGUUUGUUGUUUUUCAUAUUUCAUGGACCUUGUAGUUAAUUUUUGUACUACAAAAUGAUGUUAAAUGAAAUAAAAUAAGUUAUCGUUUUUUCUUUACAAUCUUAUUGUCUAUUAGAAUAUUUAUGUUGAAAAUAUUUUUAGGUUUUUAAGCCUAUCAUUUUAAAAUUUCUCUUAUGAUAUUCU
This 392-nucleotide long non-coding RNA is filed under the name Lathyrus oleraceus (garden pea). Its description in RNAcentral is "Pisum sativum (pea) long non-coding RNA (PSAT_LNC008979)". Lineage: Eukaryota; Viridiplantae; Streptophyta; Magnoliopsida; Fabales; Fabaceae. The record is from RNAcentral.